GACAUAAUUAAGUGCCAGGACUUUCAACACUUGUAACUAAGCUUUAAAUCUUUAACUUUCAUCACAUGCAUUGGUUACGCACAAUUCAGAAAGUGUCACGAAUAUCCAAAGUUGAUCACAUAAGAAGCUAAAAACACCAUAUUUUCACCUUUUUCAUAAACUUAGCAUCCAAAAUCAAGUUUCCUGCAAAACAUAUCCAAAAUGUAUAAUAUCUAACAAAACAAC
Molecule: long non-coding RNA, 225 nt
Filed under: Capsicum annuum
Lineage: Eukaryota; Viridiplantae; Streptophyta; Magnoliopsida; Solanales; Solanaceae
Description: long non-coding RNA (CANN_LNC007787)
Source: RNAcentral